GAUGAACGCUGGCGGCGUGCCUAAUACAUGCAAGUCGAGCGAACAGACGAGGAGCUUGCUCCUCUGACGUUAGCGGCGGACGGGUGAGUAACACGUGGAUAACCUACCUAUAAGACUGGGAUAACUUCGGGAAACCGGUGCUAAUACCGGAUAAUAUAUUGAACCGCAUGGUUCAAUAGUGAAAGACGGUUUUGCUGUCACUUAUAGAUGGAUCCGCGCCGCAUUAGCUAGUUGGUAAGGUAACGGCUUACCAAGGCAACGAUGCGUAGCCGACCUGAGAGGGUGAUCAGCCACACUGGAACUGAGACACGGUCCAGACUCCUACGGGAGGCAGCAGUAGGGAAUCUUCCGCAAUGGGCGAAAGCCUGACGGAGCAGCGCCGCGUGAGUGAUGAAGGUCUUCGGAUCGUAAAACUCUGUUAUUAGGGAAGAACAAAUGUGUAAGUAACUAUGCACGUCUUGACGGUACCUAAUCAGAAAGCCACGGCUAACUACGUG
This 497-nucleotide ribosomal RNA is filed under the name uncultured bacterium. Its description in RNAcentral is "partial 16S ribosomal RNA". It matches the Rfam family "Bacterial small subunit ribosomal RNA", at positions 28 to 507 of the family's 1533-position model. The record is from RNAcentral.